UUUAGGCUAAACGGCACAACCUAAGCCCAUCUAUAGCCUAAAAGAUAUUCGAUCGGGGUACAGCCCUAUCGAACAAGGAUACAACCUAAGCUAGCGGACAAGCACUGAACUCACCCCCAGUAGGCCUUAAAGCCGCCACCGGCAGACAAAGCGUCAUAGCAUAACACUAUAGAUACGAAUAACUCAGCCAAACCCCUAGCAAACUACUGAGCCAAACUAUAUUAAUAGAAGCAUUUAUGCUAAAACUAGUAACAAGAACACCUCUCUCCGCACCCCUGUGCCCCAGAAAUAGAAAACCUACUGGACACUAACAGACCAAAACAGGGACAACACAAACUGUCAAACCAACACUGGUGUGCCCAAAAGAAGGUUAAAAGUCACAUAAGGAACUCAGCAACACCUGCCCCAACUGUUUACCAAAAACAUAGCCUUUAGCUAAACAAGUAUUAAAGGUGCUGCCUGCCCAGUGAAGCACAUUUUAACGGCCGCGGUAUCCUAACCGUGCAAAGGUAGCGUAAUCACUUGUCUUUUAAAUAAAGACUUGUAUGAACGGCUAAAUGAGGGCAGACCUGUCUCUUGUGACUAACCAGUGAAACUGAUCUUUAAGUACAAAAGCUUAAAUAAAUACAUAAGACGAGAAGACCCGUGGAGCUUAAAACAACACUAUUAUACUCAAAAUAGCAUAGUUUUAAGUUGGGGCGACUUCGGAAUAAAAUAAAACUUCCGAGCACAGAGACAAGCCCUCUCCAUUAGACCAACAAGUCAAAGAAACACUGACCCAGUCACACUGAACAACGAACCAAGUUACCCCAGGGAUAACAGCGCCAUCUUCUUCAAGAGUUCCUAUCGACAAGAAGGCUUACGACCUCGAUGUUGGAUCAGGACACCCAAAUGGUGCAACAGCUAUUAAAGGUUCGUUUGUU
This 923-nucleotide ribosomal RNA is filed under the name Saproscincus mustelinus (weasel skink). Its description in RNAcentral is "partial 16S ribosomal RNA". It matches the Rfam family "Bacterial large subunit ribosomal RNA", at positions 943 to 2581 of the family's 2925-position model. Lineage: Eukaryota; Metazoa; Chordata; Lepidosauria; Squamata; Scincidae. The record is from RNAcentral.